GGUCUUGUAGCUCAGGUGGUAGAGCACACGCGGUACUAAAGCGUAGGUGGCCACCAUGGAUUGGAAUCCCAUCCAAAUCA
Molecule: transfer RNA, 80 nt
Filed under: Fasciola hepatica (liver fluke)
Lineage: Eukaryota; Metazoa; Platyhelminthes; Trematoda; Plagiorchiida; Fasciolidae
Description: tRNA-Ser
Source: RNAcentral